Molecule: long non-coding RNA, 1104 nt
Organism: Pygocentrus nattereri (red-bellied piranha)
Lineage: Eukaryota; Metazoa; Chordata; Actinopteri; Characiformes; Serrasalmidae
Source: Ensembl
AUGCCCAGAAAGAGUAGCACAGAUGCAAUUUUUGCAUUGAGAUUGUUGGUAGAGAAGUACAGAGAAGCUCAGAAGGAGCUACAUUGUGUCUUUGUGGAUCUAGAGAAGGCAUAUGAUAGGGUGCCAAGAGAGGAACUGUGGUACUGUAUGAGGAAGUCAGGUGUAGCUCAAAAGUAUGUUAGGGUGGUGCAGGACAUGUAUGAGGAUAGUGAGACAGUGGUGUGGUGUGCAGUUGGAGUGACAAAUGGUUUCAAGGUGAAGGUAGGGUUACAUCAGGGAUCAGCUUUGAGCCCCUUCUUGUUUGCAAUGGUGAGGGAAAGGUUGACAGAUGAGGUCAGGCAGGAGGCUCCAUGGACCAUGAUGUUUGCAGAUGACAUUGUAAUCUGUGGUGAGAGUAGAGAGCAGGUGAUAGAGAAUCUGGAGAGGUGGAGGUUUGCACUGGAGAGGAGAGGAAUGAAGGUCAGUAGAGACAAGAUGGAGUACAUGUGUGUGAAUGAGAGGGAGGCAGGUGGAAAGGUGAAGAUGCAAGGAGUAGAGGUCGUAAAGGUGGAUGACUUCAAAUAUCUUGGGUCAACCAUCCAGAGCAAUGGACAGUGUAGAAAAGAGGUGAAGAAGAGGGUGCAGGCAGGAUGGAGUGGGUGGAGACGGGUGUCAGGGCUGAUGUGUGACAGAAGGAUAGCAGCAAGAGUGAAAGGGAAGGUUUACAAGACAGUAGUGUGUCCUGCUAUGAUGUAUGGUUUGGAGACUGUGGCUCUGUCUAAAAGACAGGAGGCUGAGCUGGAGGUGGCGGAGAUGAAGAUGCUGAGAUUUUCGUUGGGAGUGACAAGGAUGGACAAAAUUAGAAAUGAGCAGAUCAGAGGGACAGUGAAGGUGGAGCAGUUUGGAGAUAAAGCCAGAGAGGCCAGGUUGAGAUCGUUUGGACAUGUGUUGAGGAGGAAUAGUGGAUAUAUUGGUCAAAGAAUGUUGGAGAUGGAGCUGCCGGGUAGAAGGAGAAGAGGUAGACCUCAGAGAAGGUUUAUGGAUGUAGUGAAGGUGGACAUGGAGAUGGUUGGUGUGAAAGUUGAUGGGAGGAGGCAAUGGAUAGGGCAAGAUGGAGGCAGAUGA